Molecule: ribosomal RNA, 1516 nt
Filed under: uncultured prokaryote
Description: partial 16S ribosomal RNA
Rfam family: Bacterial small subunit ribosomal RNA
Source: RNAcentral
GAGUUUGAUCCUGGCUCAGGAUGAACGCUAGCGGGAGGCUUAACACAUGCAAGUCGAGGGGUAACAUUGGAGCUUGCUUCAGAUGACGACCGGCGCACGGGUGAGUAACGCGUAUGCAACCUACCUCAAACAGGGGGAUAGCUCAGGGAAACCUGGAUUAAUACCCCAUAAUAUUUAGAUUUGGCAUCAGAUUUAAAUUAAAACUCCGGUGGUUUGAGAUGGGCAUGCGUGACAUUAGCUAGUUGGUAAGGUAAUGGCUUACCAAGGCUACGAUGUCUAGGGGUUCUGAGAGGAUGAUCCCCCACACUGGUACUGAGACACGGACCAGACUCCUACGGGAGGCAGCAGUGAGGAAUAUUGGUCAAUGGGCGCAAGCCUGAACCAGCCAUCCCGCGUGUAGGAAGACUGCCCUAUGGGUUGUAAACUACUUUUAUAAAGGAAUAAUUGUCUCUACGUGUAGAGAUUUGAAUGUACUGUAUGAAUAAGGAUCGGCUAACUCCGUGCCAGCAGCCGCGGUAAUACGGAGGAUUCGAGCGUUAUCCGGAUUUAUUGGGUUUAAAGGGUCCGUAGGCGGUCUUUUAAGUCAGUGGUGAAAUCCCAGAGCUCAACUCUGGAACUGCCAUUGAAACUGAAAGACUUGAAUAUGGUUGAGGUAGGCGGAAUACGUUAUGUAGCGGUGAAAUGCAUAGAUAUAACGUAGAACACCAAUUGCGAAGGCAGCUUACUAAACCAUUAUUGACGCUGAUGGACGAAAGCGUGGGGAGCGAACAGGAUUAGAUACCCUGGUAGUCCACGCCGUAAACGAUGAUUACUCGUUGUGCACAAUACACCGUGCGUGACUGAGCGAAAGCAUUAAGUAAUCCACCUGGGGAGUACGUUCGCAAGAAUGAAACUCAAAGGAAUUGACGGGGGCCCGCACAAGCGGAGGAACAUGUGGUUUAAUUCGAUGAUACGCGAGGAACCUUACCUGGACUUAAAUGUAGAUUGACCGGUUUAGAAAUAGAUCUUUCCUUCGGGACAAUUUACAAGGUGCUGCAUGGUUGUCGUCAGCUCGUGCCGUGAGGUGUCGGGUUAAGUCCCAUAACGAGCGCAACCCCUAUCGUUAGUUGCUAGCAGGUAAUGCUGAGGACUCUAGCGAGACUGCCACCGUAAGGUGAGAGGAAGGUGGGGAUGACGUCAAAUCAGCACGGCCCUUACGUCCAGGGCUACACACGUGUUACAAUGGCCGAUACAAAGGGCAGCUACCAGGUGACUGGAUGCUAAUCUCGAAAGUCGGUCUUAGUUCGGAUCGAAGUCUGCAACUCGACUUCGUGAAGCUGGAUUCGCUAGUAAUCGUAGAUCAGCAACGCUACGGUGAAUACGUUCCCGGGCCUUGUACACACCGCCCGUCAAGCCAUGGAAGCUGGGGGUACCUGAAGUCUGUCACCGCAAGGAGCGGCCUAGGGUAAAACUGGUAACUGGGGCUAAGUCAAAACAAGGUAGCCGUACCGGAAGGUGUGGCUGGAUCACUCCUUUC